GACGAACGCUGGCGGCGUGCCUAAUACAUGCAAGUAGAACGCUGAAGGAGGAGCUUGCUUCUCUGGAUGAUUUGCGAACGGGUGAGUAACGCGUAGGUAACCUGCCUCUUAGCGGCGGAGAACUCUUGGAAACGAUAGCUAAUACCGCAUAAUAUUAGAUGUUGCAUGACAUUUGCUUAAAAGAUGCAAUUGCAUCACUACCAGAUGGUCCUGCGUUGCAUUAGCUAGUUGGUGGUGUAACGGCUCACCACCGCGACGAUACAUAGCCGACCGGAGAGGGGGAUACGCCGAACUGGGAAUGAGACACGGCCCAGGAUCCUACGGGAGGCAGCAGGAGGGGAUCUUUGGGAAAGGGCGGAAGGCUGACCGGGGCACGCCGGGGGAGGGAAGGAGGUUGUCGGGUCGUAAAGAUUAGUUGUAAGGGAAGGAAGAGAGUGGGAGUGGACAGUUCACAUUGUGACGGUACCUGAUCAGAAAGCGACGGCUAACUACGUG
Molecule: ribosomal RNA, 495 nt
Filed under: uncultured bacterium
Lineage: Bacteria
Description: partial 16S ribosomal RNA
Rfam family: Bacterial small subunit ribosomal RNA
Source: RNAcentral